RNAcentral lists this ribosomal RNA (422 nucleotides) under uncultured bacterium. RNAcentral's name for it is "partial 16S ribosomal RNA". It matches the Rfam family "Bacterial small subunit ribosomal RNA", at positions 360 to 774 of the family's 1533-position model. The record is from RNAcentral.
AAUCUUCCGCAAUGGACGAAAGUCUGACGGAGCAACGCCGCGUGAACGAUGAAGGUUUUCGGAUCGUAAAGUUCUGUUAUCAGGGAAGAACAAGUAUCGGAGUAACUGCCGGCACCUGGACGGUAGCUGACCAGAAAGCCACGGCUAACUACGUGCCCGCAGCCGCGGUAAUACGUAGGAGGCAAGCGUUGUUCGGAAUUAUUGGGCGUAAAGCGCGCUCACGCUGUUUCUUAAGUCUGAUGUGAAAUCUCGUGGCUCAACCACGCGCGGCCAUUGGAAACUGGGAAACUUGAGUGCAGAAGAGAAGAGCGGAAUUCCACGUGUAGCGGUGAAAUGCGUAGAGAUGUGGAGGAACACCAGUGGCGAAGGCGGCUCUUUGGUCUGUAGCUGACGCUGAGGCGCGAAAGCGUGGGGAGCAAACA